CCCAGUGCCCACCUCGGGUGUCCCAGCCCCGUGCCACGACUCCCAGUGCACAACCUGGGUUCCCCGAUCCCAUUCCCAGUGCUCUUAGUGCCAACCAAGAGAGCCACAACUCCACCCCCGUGCUCACCUGGCUGCUCCAGCCUUGUCCCAGUUUCCCUAAUGCCCACCCUGGAUGUCCCACUCUCACCCCACUGUCCCCACACCCUUUCUCCCCUGGCAGGUGCCAUACCCGAACUGCCACUGGACUGACCGGAGCCCCUGGAACUACAGCCGGUGGGUGCGGGGGCACCCCCUGCCCGGCCACCGCUUCUGCACCGCCCUCUGCACCAACAAUGGGCUCUGGAGGAGCGUGCGCUGUGAGAGGCAGCUGCCCUUCAUCUGCGAGAUAUGAGGGGCUCAGCCCCCCCGAGUCCUCCCCUACUGCUGUUCCCCCCUCCCUCAGAGUACAAUAAAGUCUUGCUGUCAGCACACA
Molecule: non-coding RNA, 472 nt
Organism: Zonotrichia albicollis (white-throated sparrow)
Lineage: Eukaryota; Metazoa; Chordata; Aves; Passeriformes; Passerellidae
Source: RefSeq, a predicted model, not a curated record